AUUCCUCGUGAGGUUGGAGGAGAGGACAGGUUUGUGUAGCUGUCUGCAUUGGAGGGUAAUAUUGCCCUCUUCCUGUGAUCGUCUGUUGACUUUUGGAGUGUGGGACACUGAAUAACCCAGCAGAGAGAUAUCACCUGUGAGCAAGGAGCACUGCAGAUGCUGAAGUCCUCCCUCCCAAAUGCUGCUUUGUCAGCUGGUGCUGUCAUCGAGCCCUGGUCUCCUUCUCUGGAACUUGUCACCACCCUCAUCCAUGUGUCGCCUGGGGGGUGAAGGGCUCAGAAGACCUCAAAACCUUCCUGUUCUCUGGCCAGUGCCUCGGAGAUGAUGAUGUAGUCCCUAUGUGGGCCGCAGAAAGCACUUCGAGCCGUGCUGGAGUCGUGCUGGGUGGCUCUGAUAGCAGAGCUAAUGGGAGCGAAUGGGAUGCAACGAACUGUUCUAAUGACACCAGCCA
Lepidothrix coronata (blue-crowned manakin) is the source of this 451-nucleotide long non-coding RNA. RefSeq lists it as uncharacterized. The transcript is spliced from 3 exons. NCBI's taxonomy places the organism in Eukaryota, Metazoa, Chordata, Aves, Passeriformes, Pipridae. The record is from RefSeq and is a predicted model, not a curated record.